Molecule: long non-coding RNA, 177 nt
Organism: Mauremys mutica (yellowpond turtle)
Lineage: Eukaryota; Metazoa; Chordata; Testudines; Geoemydidae
Exons: 2
Source: RefSeq, a predicted model, not a curated record
UGCUCCUCCCCUCUCUGCAGGAGUGAGGGGCCACCCCGCAGAGCCCGAGCCCUGAGCAGGGCCUGCCAUGGCCAGAAGCAGAGCUGACAGCCGCCCCAGGCCCCGCAGCCUGGCUCCACAUCGCACCGCGCCGUAGCUUUGUGCAGACACAAAUAAAGGGCUGGAACCUCCCGUGUG